This 409-nucleotide ribosomal RNA is filed under the name Onchocerca suzukii. RNAcentral's name for it is "partial 12S ribosomal RNA". Lineage: Eukaryota; Metazoa; Nematoda; Chromadorea; Rhabditida; Onchocercidae. The record is from RNAcentral.
UAUUUUAUUGUUUUUAUAUUUAUUUUUUGUAAAAUGUUUUAAUUUAUUUUGUUUUUUUUUUUGAAAUAUCAAAAAUUUGGUUUUUGAACUGGAUUAGUACCCAGGUAAUCAAAGUUUAUUAAUUCGGGAGUAAAGUUUUGUUUAAACCGAAAAAAUAUUGACGGACCUUGGAUUUUUCUUUGGAACAUGKGUUUUUAUUGGAAAGCCCUCUUUUUUGGUAAAUUUUGUUGGCACAUGUAUGAUUGUUUAGUUUUUAUUUUAUAUUGAAAGGCUUUUGUUUUGGCUUUUAAAACARAUAUAUAUUUGGCUUAUAAAUUUAUUUUUCAKGKGUUACUAUUAUAAAUUUUUUUUGGAUUAAUUUUUUAUUUUUUUUUGAAAUUGRAAAAAAAAGWAAUUUUUUCUUGAKGUU